This 578-nucleotide ribosomal RNA is filed under the name Acrobeloides sp. TKb9. RNAcentral describes it as "SSU rRNA". It matches the Rfam family "Eukaryotic small subunit ribosomal RNA", at positions 1048 to 1651 of the family's 1831-position model. The record is from RNAcentral. Lineage: Eukaryota; Metazoa; Nematoda; Chromadorea; Rhabditida; Cephalobidae.
AGCGAUCCGCCGGUGGAUUUUUAGCCCUGGUGGGUAGCUUCCCGGAAACGAAAGUCUUCCGGUUCCGGGGGAAGUAUGGUUGCAAAGCUGAAACUUAAAGGAAUUGACGGAAGGGCACCACCAGGAGUGGAGCCUGCGGCUUAAUUUGACUCAACACGGGGAAACUCACCCGGCCCGGACACCGUAAGGAUUGACAGAUUGAUAGCUCUUUCAUGAUUCGGUGGUUGGUGGUGCAUGGCCGUUCUUAGUUCGUGGAUCGAUUUGUCUGGUUUAUUCCGAUAACGAGCGAGACUCUAGCCUACUAAAUAGUAACGAGAUUAUCAAUGUCUCAGUUGCUUCUUAGAGGGAUUUUCGGUGUUUAGCCGCACGAGAUUGAGCAAUAACAGGUCUGUGAUGCCCUUAGAUGUCCGGGGCUGCACGCGCGCUACACUGGCGAAAUCAGCGUGCUGUAUCCAUUCUCGAAAGGGAUUGGUAAACCCAUGAAAAUUUGCCGUGCUUGGGAUCGGAAAUUGCAAUUAUUUUCCGUGAACGAGGAAUUCCAAGUAAGUGCGAGUCAUCAACUCCCCUCUGAUUACGUC